CCUACGGGGGGCUGCAGUGGGGAAUAUUGGACAAUGGGGGGAACCCUGAUCCAGCCAUGCCGCGUGUGUGAAGAAGGCCCUCGGGUUGUAAAGCACUUUCAGUGAGGAAGAACGCCUGGUGGUUAAUACCCAUCAGGAAAGACAUCACUCACAGAAGAAGCACCGGCUAACUCCGUGCCAGCAGCCGCGGUAAUACGGAGGGUGCGAGCGUUAAUCGGAAUUACUGGGCGUAAAGCGCGCGUAGGUGGCUUGAUAAGCCGGUUGUGAAAGCCCCGGGCUCAACCUGGGAACGGCAUCCGGAACUGUCAAGCUAGAGUGCAGGAGAGGAAGGUAGAAUUCCCGGUGUAGCGGUGAAAUGCGUAGAGAUCGGGAGGAAUACCAGUGGCGAAGACGGCCUUCUGGACUGACACUGACACUGAGGUGCGAAAGCGUGGGUAGCAAACAGGAUUAGAUACCCCGGUAGUC
This 465-nucleotide ribosomal RNA is filed under the name Vreelandella stevensii. RNAcentral describes it as "partial 16S ribosomal RNA". It matches the Rfam family "Bacterial small subunit ribosomal RNA", at positions 338 to 795 of the family's 1533-position model. The record is from RNAcentral. Lineage: Bacteria; Pseudomonadati; Pseudomonadota; Gammaproteobacteria; Oceanospirillales; Halomonadaceae.